GGAGUUGGGGGUGGGGGGGAACCUGACUCUCUAGGACAAGAAGACGGGCAGCUGUUUCCCUGGCCCCUCACUCCCAGGAUGGCUGAGGCUUCUGUACUGUGAGGAUAUGAAAUAGUUGAGAGGGGCUCCCAGGAGACAGAAGGAACAGGAGAUGGAGGGAAAGAGGACUGGAGGUGUGUGGUGGGGCCCCUCCCAGUGGACAGACCGUGAUGCAGGCGGCUCAUCAUUUGUCCUUUGGGAACCCUGCUGGAGUUACUCCUUCCUCUAUCAGUGAGGAAAUGGAAGCCCAGAGGGUUCCAGAUCAGUGAAGAAAGAAUCUGAAGAUUCCGGCCUCCAGAAUCCCAGUCUCCUUGCACUUCCUCCAUCCACAGCAGUGCAGGAGUGACCUGUGACUUGAAGCAAGAGGCCAAGAACAAACAAAUGACAAGGAACCAUCAAAAUAAAAAGCAUAAAAAGAGCACUCUUCUAUUUUCAGCAAAUAAAAAUCAUGAGAUCUUCCAACCUCAACCUCCAUCAUAUUGCAGCUGAGAGACAGAAGCCUUCCCAAGACCAAGGAGCAUGUCAGGAGACAGAGCAGGAGUAAAGCCCAGUCUCUUCUUCCCCACACCCAGGUCUUUCCAGCAUGGUACUUGGAGCCAAGAGGAGAGCUGGCUAGACCACACAGAGCUCUGGCUAGCCAGAGCAUGCACACACCAUGAAGAAAGUGAGCAGACUCCAAUGCCAGUUUAGUCCACUUGGACCAGAAGAGUUCCACCCUCCUCCUGAUAUUCCUGCUAUCCAGGAGCAGCUGAACCCUGUUCCUGAAGACGUGUUGGGGAGACACUUACUGGUUGAGUUGCUGCGUGCCCUUUGGUGGCAGGCUUUAGGAAACAGGAAGUUACUACUUUGUGCUUCUAGUUUUCCAGGCUUUUCUCGAGAGGAAGCUGUGGAAGAUUCCUGCAAAACAAUUGCCGUCUUUUUAUUCAGCAAGUUAGAAUAGAAAACUGCUCAGCAAAAUUGGAUUUUGACACUGAUCAUAGAAGUACUCAGAUUGUCUGUCUCCCCUACUACAUGAUAAGCACCAUAAGAGCCGGGAUUUAGAAUCACCAUCAUCCUUUCACUCAUAGACAUACAUUCAUUUGUUCAAUUACAAAUAUUGAAUUAAUAAAUUACAUUAAUAAUAAACUAAUACGACACAAAUUGAAUGACUCCAUGAGCUAUUACAUGUCAAGUUCUUUGUUAGACAUUGUGCAUACAGUUGUGACCAAGACAGACAAGGAUGUUGAUCUUGGGGAAAAUGCAUUUUAGUGAAAGAUGACUGACAAUAAACAAGCAAAGUAAAGGUGAAAGAUAAUUACAGAGAAUGAUAAGUGCUCUGAAGAAAAGAACUAGAGAGUGAUGUGGAUAGGUAGCCUGGCAGGUGUGUUUGAGAGAGAAGGAUCAAGCAAGUUACAUUGUUCUGCCAUACCUGGCACAUAAUAGGCACUUACAAAUACUUGUUGAAUGAAUGUUAUAUGUUAUAUAAAUGGAUUUCUUAAUAUUGAACUAUCCAUGCAUUAUUAAGGGUAUUAUGAUUUUACUAUAUAUAUAUGUGUGUGUAUAUAUAUAUAUUUAUAUAUCUGUCCUCAUCCUGGAAUUUUAGGGAUGGGUGUAGGGAUAUGGGCUAAUAAUGAGGAUGAUGGUAUUAAUUAUUUUAUCUUUCUGAAACAGUUUUCUGAUUGAUUGUUAUUCUAUUAUAUAUCUUUGUUAUCAACAAUGAUCUUGACUUAA
Macaca mulatta (Rhesus monkey) is the source of this 1749-nucleotide non-coding RNA. The record is from RefSeq and is a predicted model, not a curated record. NCBI's taxonomy places the organism in Eukaryota, Metazoa, Chordata, Mammalia, Primates, Cercopithecidae.